Molecule: ribosomal RNA, 492 nt
Filed under: uncultured bacterium
Lineage: Bacteria
Description: partial 16S ribosomal RNA
Rfam family: Bacterial small subunit ribosomal RNA
Source: RNAcentral
AGUGAACGCUGGCGGUAGGCCUAACACAUGCAAGUCGAACGGCAGCACAGUAAGAGCUUGCUCUUACGGGUGGCGAGUGGCGGACGGGUGAGGAAUACAUCGGAAUCUACUUUUUCGUGGGGGAUAACGUAGGGAAACUUACGCUAAUACCGCAUACGACCUACGGGUGAAAGCAGGGGAUCUUCGGACCUUGCGCGAUUGAAUGAGCCGAUGUCGGAUUAGCUAGUUGGCGGGGUAAAGGCCCACCAAGGCGACGAUCCGUAGCUGGUCUGAGAGGGUGAUCAGCCACACUGGAACUGAGACACGGUCCAGACUCCUACGGGAGGCAGCAGUGGGGAAUAUUGGACAAUGGGCGCAAGCCUGAUCCAGCCAUACCGCGUGGGUGGAGAAGGCCUUCGGGUUGUAAAGCCCUUUUGUUGGGAAAGAAAAGCAGCAGGUUAAUACCCCGCUGUUCUGACGGUACCCAAAGAAUAAGCACCGGCUAACUUCGUG